GUCUAUAGCCAUACCACCCUGAAUGCACCCAAUCUCCUUUGAUCUCAGAAGCUAAGUAGGGUCUUGCCUGGUUAGUACUUGUAUGGGAGAAGUGUAUCCUAUAUAAUUCAUGUGUCUGCAGCUAAGUGCUAUGACC
Myotis lucifugus (little brown bat) is the source of this 136-nucleotide ribosomal RNA. Lineage: Eukaryota; Metazoa; Chordata; Mammalia; Chiroptera; Vespertilionidae. The record is from Ensembl.